GGACUUUUUGGUUUGUAUUGGAAUGAGUUAAGUAUAAACCCCUUUACAAGUAUCAAUUGGAGGGCAAGUCUGGUGCCAGCAGCCGCGGUAAUUCCAGCUCCAAUAGCGUAUAUUAAAGUUGUUGCAGUUAAAAAGCUCGUAGUUGGAUUUCUGUUAAUAAUUUAUAUAAAAUAUUUUGAUGAAUAUUUAUAUAAUAUUAACAUAAUUCAUAUUACUAUAUAUUUUAGUAUAUGAAAUUUUACUUUGAGAAAAUUAGAGUGCUUAAAGCAGGCAUAUGCCUUGAAUACUCCAGCAUGGAAUAAUAUUAAAGAUUUUUAUCUUUCUUAUUGGUUCUAAGAUAAGAAUAAUGAUUAAUAGGGACAGUUGGGGGCAUUUGUAUUUAACAGUCAGAGGUGAAAUUCUUAGAUUUGUUAAAGACAAACUAAUGCGAAAGCAUUUGCCAAGGAUGUUUUCAUUAAUCAAGAACGAAAGUUAGGGGAUCGAAGACGAUCAGAUACCGUCGUAGUCUUAACCAUAAACUAUGCCAACUAGAGAUUGGAGGUUGUUCUUUACUCCUUA
RNAcentral lists this ribosomal RNA (558 nucleotides) under Cryptosporidium parvum. RNAcentral's name for it is "SSU rRNA". It matches the Rfam family "Eukaryotic small subunit ribosomal RNA", at positions 492 to 1076 of the family's 1831-position model. The record is from RNAcentral. Lineage: Eukaryota; Apicomplexa; Conoidasida; Eucoccidiorida; Cryptosporidiidae.